Molecule: ribosomal RNA, 308 nt
Filed under: Micrococcus luteus
Lineage: Bacteria; Bacillati; Actinomycetota; Actinomycetes; Micrococcales; Micrococcaceae
Description: bacterial SSU rRNA
Rfam family: Bacterial small subunit ribosomal RNA
Source: RNAcentral
UGACCGGCCACACUGGGACUGAGACACGGCCCAGACUCCUAGGGAGGCAGCAGUGGGGAAUAUUGCACAAUGGGCGCAAGCCUGAUGCAGCGACGCCGCGUGAGGGAUGACGGCCUUCGGGUUGUAAACCUCUUUCAGUAGGGAAGAAGCGAGAGUGACGGUACCUGCAGAAGAAGCACCGGCUAACUACGUGCCAGCAGCCGCGGUAAUACGUUAGGGUGCGAGCGUUAUCCGGAAUUAUUGGGCGUAAAGAGCUCGUAGGCGGUUUGUCGCGUCUGUCGUGAAAGUCCGGGGCUUAACCCCGGAUC